UUAACACAUGCAAGUCGAGGGGCAGCAUGGUCUUAGCUUGCUAAGACUGAUGGCGACCGGCGCACGGGUGAGUAACACGUAUCCAACCUGCCGUCUACUCUUGGACAGCCUUCUGAAAGGAAGAUUAAUACAAGAUGGCAUCAUGAGUCCGCAUGUUCACAUGAUUAAAGGUAUUCCGGUAGACGAUGGGGAUGCGUUCCAUUAGAUAGUAGGCGGGGUAACGGCCCACCUAGUCUUCGAUGGAUAGGGGUUCUGAGAGGAAGGUCCCCCACAUUGGAACUGAGACACGGUCCAAACUCCUACGGGAGGCAGCAGUGAGGAAUAUUGGUCAAUGGGCGAGAGCCUGAACCAGCCAAGUAGCGUGAAGGAUGACUGCCCUAUGGGUUGUAAACUUCUUUUAUAAAGGAAUAAAGUCGGGUAUGUAUACCCGUUUGCAUGUACUUUAUGAAUAAGGAUCGGCUAACUCCGUGCCAGCAGCCGCGGUAAUACGGAGGAUCCGAGCGUUAUCCGGAUUUAUUGGGUUUAAAGGGAGCGUAGAUGGAUGUUUAAGUCAGUUGUGAAAGUUUGCGGCUCAACCGUAAAAUUGCAGUUGAUACUGGAUAUCUUGAGUGCAGUUGAGGCAGGCGGAAUUCGUGGUGUAGCGGUGAAAUGCUUAGAUAUCACGAAGAACUCCGAUUGCGAAGGCAGCCUGCUAAGCUGCAACUGACAUUG
This 711-nucleotide ribosomal RNA is filed under the name uncultured Bacteroidales bacterium. RNAcentral's name for it is "bacterial SSU rRNA". It matches the Rfam family "Bacterial small subunit ribosomal RNA", at positions 48 to 748 of the family's 1533-position model. Lineage: Bacteria; Pseudomonadati; Bacteroidota; Bacteroidia; Bacteroidales. The record is from RNAcentral.